Molecule: ribosomal RNA, 253 nt
Filed under: uncultured bacterium
Lineage: Bacteria
Description: partial 16S ribosomal RNA
Rfam family: Bacterial small subunit ribosomal RNA
Source: RNAcentral
UACGUAGGGUGCGAGCGUUAAUCGGAAUUACUGGGCGUAAAGCGUGCGCAGGCGGUUCUCCAAGUCCGUUGUGAGAGCCCCGGGCUCAACCUGGGAAUGGCAGUGGAAACUAGGGGACUGGAAUCUGGCAGAGGGGGGUGGAAUGCCGCGUGUAGCAGUGAAAUGCGUAGAGAUGCGGCGGAACACCGAUGGCGAAGGCAGCCCCCUGGGCUGAGAUUGACGCUCAGGCACGAAAGCGUGGGGAGCAAACAGG